AUAAAACCGUUGAAAAAGAAGAGUAAGCUUUCCAGGCAAUAUUUCAGAGAGCCGCCGUUGGUGCGAGUGCGGUAUAAAGCUGAUAGCUGAAUGGACUUUUGAGGGCGGCCCCGAACCAUUGUUUUUUGUAGGGGCUGACGGAAACCACAACCGUUAUUUCUCGUGGCAUAUAUGUUAGUAUAUGAAAAGUGGGCUUUUAUAAAGCCAAUUUGAGUGGCACCGCGGAUUGUAUGAUUCGUCUCAAGU
RNAcentral lists this non-coding RNA (246 nucleotides) under Lacrimispora celerecrescens. Its description in RNAcentral is "Clostridium celerecrescens T-box sequence". It matches the Rfam family "T-box leader". From Rfam's summary of the family: Uncharged tRNA acts as the effector for transcription antitermination of genes in the T-box leader family. Lineage: Bacteria; Bacillati; Bacillota; Clostridia; Lachnospirales; Lachnospiraceae. The record is from RNAcentral.